This 348-nucleotide long non-coding RNA is filed under the name Olea europaea (common olive). RNAcentral's name for it is "long non-coding RNA (OEUR_LNC012146)". Lineage: Eukaryota; Viridiplantae; Streptophyta; Magnoliopsida; Lamiales; Oleaceae. The record is from RNAcentral.
GCAGAAGCUUCACCACUUCAAGAAUAGAAAAAAUCCGCUGCUAAGAACGCAAUAGACGACAUUACAACUUGUCUUCGAUCAAUUAGUGGGCUAUGCUCCAAACUUUCACCUCCCUCUUCAAUAAGGCAAAAGAGAAUUAGCAAUCAAUCAGAAGUAGAAAAAAAGAAAACAAAACUCCCAAUAGAAAUCAAUAAAGUAAACUUAUAGAAGAUUGAAGAAGACGAAAAAAAUAUUUUAAAAAAAUAAAAAGAAUUAACGUACCACUAUAUCACUUUUUGGCAAAUUCACAGGCUUGAGAUUAAUGCUGAAAUACUUGUAAUUCAGGUUAUGGCAUGAAUUUCAUUUGGU